This is a long non-coding RNA of Oncorhynchus tshawytscha (Chinook salmon), 3820 nucleotides long. RefSeq lists it as uncharacterized. The record is from RefSeq and is a predicted model, not a curated record. NCBI's taxonomy places the organism in Eukaryota, Metazoa, Chordata, Actinopteri, Salmoniformes, Salmonidae. The transcript is spliced from 2 exons.
UUUGUAUGUAACAAUAUUGAGCACAUGGUGUGACUUGCUGUAUUUUACAAAGUUAUUAUAGGGAGGGGUGGUCAUCACGAGGUUUAACUGAGAUGGAAAAAUACUGAACAACACAAUAGCAGGAACUGUUCUAACUAGGCUGCGAUACCAGAACAGUAAGAAUCUAUACAUCGACGGAGGGAGAACUCCAAGAAGCGCCAAGAGGCGGGGACCCGCCUGAGCGCCUGCAAUAGGCUGGACAAGUUUAAACCACGCCCAGCCUCUACUGUGAUAGUUCCAACCCGUCUGUUGGCCUGUCUAUCACAGUAUAAAGAAUACUGUUUACAUACAUCUUGUCAGUUCUCUGUUCUGCCCUGCAUGGUAUUACAGUGAGCCCGUAUAUACGAAAGUUGCACUUGCCAUUUAUUACUUAGCUAAUAAAAAAUACAUAGUAUAACAUCGGUGACUCAUUGUUAUAUUUAUCCUGAUACCAGAUUCAAAUUUACGCAACUCUAACAAUUUGGUGACCACCGAUGUGAUCUGGUAGAAGGACGACGCUGGAAAUUGUCCGGCCGAUUGGCCAGUACUGUCGUCGGACGGUGUGUCUCACAAAUCCUGACCGGUCAACUAAAAGAGAAGCCUCCUGGGAUUAUAAUCUUCGGGAGAGUGGGGGAGAGAGCGGCCAUAAACGACCAAAUUGAAAAAGGUCUGGAAGUCUUGAUUAUCCAUUAAGGUUUGCAAAUAUAUACACAUAAAACAAUUGUUAGAACUAUUUGUUUUAGUGCAAAGGUAUUUUAAAGAGGCACGCUCACAUAUGGAACCUUAUGAGUUUUUUAUUUUAUGAGUUUUAAUUACACAAGCGAUUUUUAUUUUAUUUUAAGGAUAAAGGGUUCUUUAAUAUGUCUAAUAUGGUAUGGAACACAAAUGUAAGGGGAUGGUGUAACCUUUGACCUGCUUUCAUGACUCUCCCGGGUUGUCUGAUCAGCCACAAAGGGGUGCCAUUUGAAUAAUGAAUUUGUGGUCAUGGGUAAUACAGUUUAAAAAGUUGAAUUAACCUAGAUAAGAACUUUAGAAAUUGCCACCAUAGACAAGUUUUUCUAAAAAAAUCCAUGAGUUUAGAUAAAGCCAAACAGUGAGACAUUUAGUUAAAAUGUGGAAACAUGAGAAAAAGAGCUACAGACAGAUAGGGGAAAAGGCAGACAGAAGAGCCCUCCCCCGCACUGCAGAGGCCUUGAAGGUUGGAGAGCAGAGAGGAGAAGUUUUAGAAGAGGAGCCAGGACGAGCAAAGAUAACAGAAUGUGUAGAUAAGUUACUGAGUGGAGACAAAAGGGAGAAUUGGACAUGUGGAAAAUGAAAGGGGCGCUCCUACAUGAUAAUGUCAGAACAGAAGGAUAAUAUACUAAUCUUACCUAAGUCAUUAUUUAGAGUAGGUAAGGUUGUUACCUGGGCAGAGCCAGGUAUCAAAAGGGGGAUAGGUAAAUUGUGGUCUAGGAUAGGAUGGGGCCUAUUGGAUAAGAAACUAAUAAUUUUAAAAAAUGUAGCUAACAAAUGGGCAUAGAAGUUAAAGAUAUAAUCAGAUAAAACACAUGAGAAACUGUUUGUUAACCAAGCCUGUAUGUCCAGGAUUUUAUGCAUUACAGGUGAACUACAGGUGAAGUCACUCAAUCCAGUCCCAGAGGCUUGUUGGGGGGACCAUACCAAGGACUCGGAUUCAUAUCGCACGGUGGGAGGGUAAGACACAGUGACACUGUCGAACAAUAAACAGUGUUCGAGAGGAGAACUGGAAUGAACAGAAUUCCGGGGGCCAUCUCUCAAAUGAAGUAACCCUCCCUGUCUUUUCAUCCCUGUUUUUGUUCAUAGAAGUGAAGAUGUGUCUGGCUCUUGCUAAGUGAUGUGUUCUCGGGAGAGGGUGGGGCUUCACAUGGAAGCUGUUCGUCUGAGCUGUUUUAUCGUGGGUGACAUAUUCCUGAUACAGCACGUCCUACUUGAGUAUGCGGAGAGUGGUAAUUUGACCCAUGGUUUAGACGAUGAGGAUUUUGUUCCAAAAUAAGCAUAAGAGAUCCCUAGAUCUGGGUAGACAGGAAGUUAGAGUAGAGGUUGGGAAGGAUCUCUCAAUGGAGUUUUAUGUAGAUCAAGAUGGAGUCUCUAACUACAUGGCAGUCUAGGACUCUGAGCCAUUAUGGCAUAUAUCGGUGCAGGAUCCCAUAUUGAUCGUGGACACAGGUCAUAGCUCAUUUGGAGAGAGAGGCCUAUAUGAAUCCACUCACCCAGUAUGGAAGAAGGUAGAGUAUAGUGAAGGUGAUAGUUUUUGAUUGUAAUCAGGAGAGAGGGAUGUAAUUGCAUAAAGAUACGCCUAACCCUUUAAACAGAAAUGAAGGAGGAUCUAGGGUUGUGGUAUGGAUAUGACCAGGUCUUGGUUGACACCCUAGUACAGUUCUGGGUAGAGGAGUUUAGGCCGGUAUGGUAAAGCUGUUCACGAAAGCAGGAAUGCCAGAUGACAGUUGCAUUGACUUGCACGAUUUAUAUCCACAGGUUCCUCCCUUUACAGUGACCUGAGGAGAUUAUUACCGUUUGGCCCGGUACAGUACACUUGGGAAAUGUCAGGGCGAGGUUUUACCGACAGAUUGGACAGGAUUAUGUCCUUGUACAUUUGGGAAUGCCUAUUCCCACUCAUUUAACACAGAGACAUGAAGUUUAGCCAAUUGGGAGAAAAGAGCGACUCCAUCCGCGUCUCUUAUUGACAACGUAUACAUUGAUAACAUUGGGGUUCCACAGACGUGGACUGGAUUAAUUAUAUUUAUUAUAAUCAACAGCGCUUUAACAAUUAUACCAGAGAUGCUAUUAAAGGGCUUGCAGAACAGACUGAAGCAACCAGCUGAUGGCUUGGCAGAAUAGAAUUGCUUUAGAUAUGUUAUUGGCUGAAAAGGGAGAAGUAUGCGUGAUUAUCGGGACCAUGUUUGUGCUUAUAUCCCAAAUAACACAGCUCCGGACGAAUCAGUGCCCGAAGCCUCAGCUGGUUUGACCACCCUGGCUCACGGUUUGGCAGAAAACUCUGGGGUGGAUACUUCUCUGACUAAUUGUUUUGAUAGCAUGUUCGGAAAAUGGGAAAAAAUAUUAUGAUCACUGUAUUAUGGGCUUUAUUCACCUGUGUGACUGUUUUAGUUUUAUGGGGCUGUUGUCUAAUUCCCUGUGUAUGAGGCCUUAUUUCCAGGACUCUGGAGAAAUCGAUGGAAAUAGAUGGUGAGGUACCAGCGGAUUCCAGGUUCUGACCCGUGGAGUGCUGAAUGUAUGUCUACAGAACAAGUGGACGAAAAUUAUAAAUUAAAUUAUAUUAAAUUGGGAGGGUGUCCGUAUGGGGAUUACAUGAUAACCGACUUGGGACAGUUCUGGGAUUGGAGAAGAGGGUAUCCUUAUAGCAUAGGGGAUCCCACAAAGGUGGAUAGGUUUUCCAUGAUAUGGGGAAAACCUGGGAGCACUGUUGAACUUUGUAAAGGUGAUGAAAUCCUACUAACCAUCAAAACUAUUAAGCUCUCUGAUGCAGGCACUUACACCCUCGGACUACAAAGGACCGGGACAGACACGAUGGGUGUGUUUUCUAUUAAGGUGCUGCCAAAACCAGAGGUCCCAGACGAACCAGGGCCAGACACACUCCUCUACCACCCCUGGACCGAACCUGCCACCACUGUGUUAAAAAUCCCAUUCAGGUAAUUAAUGUUAGAGACUAUUCAGCUAUUGAUCAAUUAGGCACUGAGACUGGUUUUGAUGGUAGGGACAAUUUGUGGCUGUCUUAUAUGAGGUAUACAGCUAAGACCCUGAAAAGAAAGGACUGCAUGAGUUACAU